This 450-nucleotide ribosomal RNA is filed under the name uncultured bacterium. Its description in RNAcentral is "bacterial SSU rRNA". It matches the Rfam family "Bacterial small subunit ribosomal RNA", at positions 354 to 796 of the family's 1533-position model. The record is from RNAcentral.
GUAGGGAAUCUUCGGCAAUGGACGGAAGUCUGACCGAGCAACGCCGCGUGAGUGAAGAAGGUUUUCGGAUCGUAAAGCUCUGUUGUAAGAGAAGAACGAGUGUGAGAGUGGAAAGUUCACACUGUGACGGUAUCUUACCAGAAAGGGACGGCUAACUACGUGCCAGCAGCCGCGGUAAUACGUAGGUCCCGAGCGUUGUCCGGAUUUAUUGGGCGUAAAGCGAGCGCAGGCGGUUAGAUAAGUCUGAAGUUAAAGGCUGUGGCUUAACCAUAGUACGCUUUGGAAACUGUUUAACUUGAGUGCAAGAGGGGAGAGUGGAAUUCCAUGUGUAGCGGUGAAAUGCGUAGAUAUAUGGAGGAACACCGGUGGCGAAAGCGGCUCUCUGGCUUGUAACUGACGCUGAGGCUCGAAAGCGUGGGGAGCAAACAGGAUUAGAUACCCGAGUAGUCC